GGUCCAGACUCCUACGGGAGGCAGCAGUGAGGAAUAUUGGUCAAUGGGCGUAAGCCUGAACCAGCCAAGUCGCGUGAGGGACGACGGCCCUACGGGUUGUAAACCUCUUUUGCCGGGGGACAAACGGCGGCACGCGUGCCGUCCUGAGGGUACCCGGAGAAAAAGCAUCGGCUAACUCCGUGCCAGCAGCCGCGGUAAUACGGAGGAUGCGAGCGUUAUCCGGAUUUAUUGGGUGUAAAGGGCGUGUAGGCGGGAGCGCAAGUCAGAUGUGAAAACUCAGGGCUCGACCCUGAGCCUGCAUUUGAAACUGUGUUUCUUGAGUGCUGGAGAGGCAAGCGGAAUUCCGUGUGUAGCGGUGAAAUGCGUAGAUAUACGGAGGAACACCAGUGGCGAAGGCGGAUUGCUGGACAGUAACUGACGCUGAGGCGCGAAAGCGUGGGGAGCAAACAGGAUUAGAUACCCGUGUA
This 467-nucleotide ribosomal RNA is filed under the name uncultured bacterium. RNAcentral's name for it is "partial 16S ribosomal RNA". It matches the Rfam family "Bacterial small subunit ribosomal RNA", at positions 328 to 792 of the family's 1533-position model. The record is from RNAcentral.